Molecule: unclassified non-coding RNA, 417 nt
Filed under: uncultured Marasmius
Lineage: Eukaryota; Fungi; Basidiomycota; Agaricomycetes; Agaricales; Tricholomataceae
Description: sequence contains ITS1
Rfam family: 5.8S ribosomal RNA (bases 1-105)
Source: RNAcentral
GAAAUGCGAUAAGUAAUGUGAAUUGCAGAAUUCAGUGAAUCAUCGAAUCUUUGAACGCACCUUGCGCCUCUUGGUAUUCCGAGAGGCAUGCCUGUUUGAGUGUCAUUAAAUUCUCAACCUCAAAAGCUUUUGUUUCUGAGGCUUGGAUGUGGAGGCUUUGCUGGCUUGUUCAGAGUCAGCUCCUCUUAAAUGCAUUAGUGGAAACUGUUUGCUAGUCCGCAUUAGUGUGAUAAUUAUCAGCGCUGUUGUGGCUGCAAGCUCAUAGUAGUGUUCGUUUGGGAAGUGCAUCAAUAGUGCUCUUUCUGUUCUACUUGACCUACACUUGAGUAUAGUAUCUGCUUCAAACUGUCCUAAGAUAACUGGACAACACUUGAUUAUUUUGACCUCAAAUCAGGUAGGACUACCCGCUGAACUUAA